Molecule: non-coding RNA, 220 nt
Organism: Ceratotherium simum simum (southern white rhinoceros)
Lineage: Eukaryota; Metazoa; Chordata; Mammalia; Perissodactyla; Rhinocerotidae
Source: RefSeq, a predicted model, not a curated record
GAACAAGAGCUUCAAAGAAGGACCAAAGGACCACUCUGCUGUUUGUGUUGUCGUUGACUGUUGAGGACAAACAAACAAUCAAAAUUUAAUAACAAAAAAAAAAAGCAUAGGCAUCAUAAACAUCAUCCUCUACCCUUGACUCUGUCAAAGUAAUAUUUUUACACCAUUCAUAGUACUCUAAAUACUUCUGUCCCCAAGAGACCCAAAGACUUGGGUAAUU